GAUGAACGCUGGCGGCGUGCCUAAUACAUGCAAGUAGAACGCUGAAGGAGGAGCUUGCUCUUCUGGAUGAGUUGCGAACGGGUGAGUAACGCGUAGGUAACCUGCCUGGUAGCGGGGGAUAACUAUUGGAAACGAUAGCUAAUACCGCAUGACAACAGUUAUUGCAUGAUAACUGUUUAAAAGGGGCAACUGCUCCCCUACCAGAUGGACCUGCGUUGUAUUAGCUAGUUGGUGAGGUAACGGCUCACCAAGGCGACGAUACAUAGCCGACCUGAGAGGGGGAUCGGCCACACUGGGACUGAGACACGGCCCAGACUCCUACGGGAGGCAGCAGUAGGGAAUCUUCGGCAAUGGACGGAAGUCUGACCGAGCAACGCCGCGUGAGUGAAGAAGGUUUUCGGAUCGUAAAGCUCUGUUGUAAGAGAAGAACGAGUGUGAGAGUGGAAAGUUCACACUGUGACGGUAUCUUACCAGAAAGGGACGGCUAACUACGUG
RNAcentral lists this ribosomal RNA (495 nucleotides) under uncultured bacterium. Its description in RNAcentral is "partial 16S ribosomal RNA". It matches the Rfam family "Bacterial small subunit ribosomal RNA", at positions 28 to 507 of the family's 1533-position model. The record is from RNAcentral.